Molecule: ribosomal RNA, 506 nt
Filed under: uncultured bacterium
Lineage: Bacteria
Description: partial 16S ribosomal RNA
Rfam family: Bacterial small subunit ribosomal RNA
Source: RNAcentral
AGUGAACGCUGGCGGUAGGCCUAACACAUGCAAGUCGAACGGCAGCACAGGAGAGCUUGCUCUCUGGGUGGCGAGUGGCGGACGGGUGAGGAAUACAUCGGAAUCUACUCUGUCGUGGGGGAUAACGUAGGGAAACUUACGCUAAUACCGCAUACGACCUACGGGUGAAAGAAGGGGACCUUCGGGCCUUGCGCGAUUGAAUGAGCCGAUGUCGGAUUAGCUAGUUGGCGGGGUAAAGGCCCACCAAGGCGACGAUCCGUAGCUGGUCUGAGAGGAUGAUCAGCCACACUGGAACUGAGACACGGUCCAGACUCCUACGGGAGGCAGCAGUGGGGAAUAUUGGACAAUGGGCGCAAGCCUGAUCCAGCCAUACCGCGUGGGUGAAGAAGGCCUUCGGGUUGUAAAGCCCUAUUGUUGGGAAAGAAAUCCAGCUGGCUAAUACCCGGUUGGGAUGACGGUACCCAAAGAAUAAGCACCGGCUAACUUCGUGCCAGCAGCCGCCGUAA